Molecule: ribosomal RNA, 2018 nt
Filed under: Triticum aestivum (bread wheat)
Lineage: Eukaryota; Viridiplantae; Streptophyta; Magnoliopsida; Poales; Poaceae
Description: partial small subunit ribosomal RNA
Source: RNAcentral
CCCAAAAGACUAUCACCAUCUCGUAUUUCCUCCUCGCGUUGCGUCCAUUUGGAAGCAAGGAAGGAAAGCCGGUGGGAAGCUCCGGGCGGGCAGCAUUAAGUCACCACAUGUUACAAUUAGUGCCGCUUCCAGCUUAGUUAAUCCCCUUGGUUUAUAUAUCCAUCUCUCUCCCCUCCCUCCCUCCAUCGCCUCCUCAUCUCCACCUCCCUCCACCUCUGCUGGCUCCGCGGCCCAUCCCAUCCGAUCCCAUCGCCGCGCCGCCAGCUCCAGAUCCGCCCCCGCGCCCGCCGCCGAGCUCCACACGCGGGGAAGGGGUGAGGAGUCAGCUGCCUGCCAUUUCAUCAGGCCCUGGUGUGGUGUAGCAGCGGCCUUCGCACCCAAACAACCAGAGCUUUUAGAUGAUCCAAAGAUGGUGAGGAGCUGAGAGCACCUAGAGUUCGACAGUGGGGGCUGUGGGGCAGCAAGGACAUGACUGUCAUGCCGCCUGCGCGCCAUCGGCCCGCGGCCAAGAGGCCCAUGUGGAUAAUCGUGCUCCUGUGCCUCGUCUGCGUCGUGCUGAUCGGGGCGUACGUGUACCCGCCGCGGCACUACUCGCAGUGCUACCUCUCUGCUUCUAGCGUCUGUACGCCGUUCAAGGAUUGGCUCCCGUCCAUCGGCCGCCGGGAGAAAACCGAUGACGAGAUCAUCUCAGCCGCUGUUAUCAGGGAUAUUCUUGGAAUGCCCAUGUCCACGUCGAAGAAUCCAAAGAUUGCCUUUAUGUUCUUGACACCUGGCUCAUUGCCCUUCGAGAAAUUGUGGGAGAAGUUUCUGCAGGGUCACGAGGGAAGAUACUCCAUCUAUGUGCACGCGUCGCGUCAGAAGCCUGUGCAUACUAGUUCUCUCUUUGUUGGCCGAGAUAUUCAUAGUGAUGCGGUUGUAUGGGGAAAGAUUUCAAUGAUAGAUGCAGAGAAGAGGCUAUUAGCAAAUGCGCUGGAAGACGCGGAUAAUCAAUUUUUUGUCUUGCUUUCUGAUAGCUGUGUUCCACUUCAUUCAUUUGACUACGUCUUCAAUUACCUGAUGGGAACAAAUAUUAGUUUCAUUGAUUGUUUCCAAGAUCCUGGUCCACAUGGAAAUGGAAGGUAUUCUCUUGAGAUGCUUCCUGAAAUAGAGGAGAGAGACUUCAGAAAGGGUGCCCAGUGGUUCGCAAUCACGCGAAGACAUGCUUUAUUGAUUCUGGCGGACAACCUUUACUACAAGAAGUUCAAGCUAUAUUGCAAGCCAGCAGAUGGGCGCAACUGUAUUGCUGACGAGCAUUACUUGCCAACCCUAUUCAAUAUGGUAGAUCCAGGUGGAAUAGCUAAUUGGUCAGUUACACAUGUGGAUUGGUCUGAGGGGAAAUGGCAUCCAAAGUCAUACGCAGUUGCUGAUGUCAGCUAUGAUCUACUAAAGAAUAUAACAGCCGUUGAUGAGACCAUCCAUGUAACAAGUGAUGACAGGAAACUUGUGACACAGAAGCCAUGUUUGUGGAACGGAUCAAAGAGUCCAUGCUAUCUUUUUGCUAGGAAAUUUUACCCCGAAACUCUCGACAGCUUACUGAAGAUAUUCACCAGCUACACGUCUGUUUGACUUCAACCUGAUUCUUUGCACCUCAACACAUGGUUCAAGUACAUGAGCAUGUCUCCUCUCUUCAUGUAAAAAAAUUUGUGAAGUCAAUCGAUACUUAGAUCUGGGCCUCGAGCGACGGGUUGCUGCUGCAGCGACCACCGCAAACCUGCGGUUCAGUCCAUGGGUGGUAGGGAUGCGGCGAUAUUGACAGCGAUGAUACUGCCCUCGUUGUAAUCUAUUGUGCUUUCUGUAUGUUUCCUUUAAGUCCUUCGCCUCUCUCUCUCUCUCUCCCUCUUUAAUUUCUGUCCUAGCCUCAUUAGUUCCUGGCUCUUCGAGUUGGAGAUCAUAUUUUUGUCAAUAUGCUGUUAUCAUAUGAUCCAUUCUUUUGUAGACACAAAGAAAUGAGUGAAAAGUACCACAUAUCUUUUAUAGUC